GUACGCAAUCCGUAUCCUUCCCCUAUAUAUACAACCCUCCAUGUAUAUAUAUAUACGUAAGAUACAAGCCAUAAACGAGUGAACCUGAGCGUCGACGAGUUGCAUGUAUGAGAUUGUAAUUAAGGAGGGAUGCAUGAAGGAUUAAGAGCUUGUAACGUGGGAGUGAAUAGAAAAACAACAGGAACUUGGUGUUGUGAAUCUUGAGGACGCAACACACAAAGGGAUUCAUGAGGCUUUACAACUUCGAUAUUACUAUCCAGCAUCAUGAAGUUCAUAUGCAGGACAGCAGGAGGCUUAUGGCUUGUCAUUUAGUUCUUUAAAUAAUACCUAAUUUAAUUAAUUAAUUAGGUUAAUAUAUUAUGAUAUGAAUGCUAUAUAUCAGAAGGAAAAACGGUUUAAAUGUUUUUUUACAGGAUAUGAAAGCUAUAUUUCCAUCUGAAUACAACUCAUUCUAUGCAUGCUUGGGUAUCAGGAUACUGAUGAGAUUAGUUACAGGAAAACAGGGAUUCCAAUGGUUAAAAUCUUUAUAAUUAACCCUAAAGUAUAUAUACAUAUGUCUUCCUCUGAUUUUCUUUUGAAAUAAGAUGACACUUAUUCCUUGUUUUU
Lactuca sativa (garden lettuce) is the source of this 606-nucleotide long non-coding RNA. RefSeq lists it as uncharacterized. NCBI's taxonomy places the organism in Eukaryota, Viridiplantae, Streptophyta, Magnoliopsida, Asterales, Asteraceae. The record is from RefSeq and is a predicted model, not a curated record.